RNAcentral lists this non-coding RNA (45 nucleotides) under Schistosoma curassoni. Lineage: Eukaryota; Metazoa; Platyhelminthes; Trematoda; Strigeidida; Schistosomatidae. The record is from RNAcentral.
AUCCAGCUGACGAGUCCUAAAUAGGACGAAACGCGCGUCAUGGAU